This is a non-coding RNA of Ictidomys tridecemlineatus (thirteen-lined ground squirrel), 919 nucleotides long. Lineage: Eukaryota; Metazoa; Chordata; Mammalia; Rodentia; Sciuridae. The record is from RefSeq and is a predicted model, not a curated record.
UAAGCCUGCCUGCUUAUCUAUUUAGGAGAUAAUUAAAACUUAGAAGAGGAUCAUUGGUUAGGUGUUUUUACCUUUUUCACAUUUCAUUGGAACCUGUGUUUCCUGAAAUGACAUCCUUUCUGUACGUUCAGAAAAAUGCAGGGUGCUUCUCAAGCUUCCAAGAUGAGUUAUAGAGGAUGUUUUUCCUUUAUUAUUAGGAUACAUGUGGAGUUCUUGCACCUUGAACACUGUGUUUUUUUUGGACCGCACCAUUUCUAACUUGGCUGAACAAAAACAACAGAUUCUCCUGGCAGAAGGGGCCUUUCCUUACCUUGUCCAAACUAAGGCAAAUCCAUUUCUUCAGUUCUUAAGGUUGUUGUAAAAGACAAGAACACUUAAAUCUCUUACGAAUUGGAACUCAUCAAAGGUAGAGCAGUGGGUGAGAAGGCAUGAGAACUGUGCCAAAUCUGGGGGAAGGGAAGAGCAAAAGGAAUGGCCAACAAAUUUGACAACAGGCCAGAGGCUUGAGGCAAAGCUGAAGCCAAGAGAUUCCCAACAUCUGUAAUGGCACAUGGCAGAUUCUUAAUAAGUGUGGGCCGAACAAAUAAAUGUGGAGGGUAAUACUGACUUUCCAUCUGACUUUAAAGAAAACCCUUUUAAUUGUGUUGAUUUACAUUUUAGUGGUUAUGGCUCAGCUUUGGACACAGAGAGAAGGGAAAUGGAGCCCAGCUCUGCCACUUCCCAGUGGCAUGGACAAGGCACUCAGUCUCCAAAUGAAGCUAUUAUGCAUCUAAUUGAUCAUCAGAGGGACGUGUUUAAAUGAACUCUGGUACAACCACACAAUGCAGUCGAAAAGAAUGAGGAUGGUCUUUAUAAAAUGUUAUGGAAAAUUUCUGAAAAAUGUUAAGAAGUUUCCAGAAUAAAGCCAUCCACAAAACCA